GACGAACGCUGGCGGCGUGCUUAACACAUGCAAGUCGAACGGUAAGGCCCUUCGGGGUACACGAGUGGCGAACGGGUGAGUAACACGUGGGUGAUCUGCCCUGCACUUCGGGAUAAGCCUGGGAAACUGGGUCUAAUACCGGAUAGGACCACUGCCUGCAUGGGUGGUGGUGGAAAGCUUUUGUGGUGUGGGAUGGGUCCGCGGCCUAUCAGCUUGUUGGUGGGGUGAUGGCCUACCAAGGCGACGACGGGGAGCCGGCCUGAGAGGGUGACCGGCCACACUGGGACUGAGAUACGGCCCAGACUCCUACGGGAGGCAGCAGUGGGGAAUAUUGCACAAUGGGCGCAAGCCUGAUGCAGCGACGCCGCGUGAGGGAUGACGGCCUUCGGGUUGUAAACCUCUUUCAGCACCGACGAAGCGCAAGUGACGGUAGGUGCAGAAGAAGGACCGGCCAACUACGUGCCAGCCGCCGCUGUAA
RNAcentral lists this ribosomal RNA (478 nucleotides) under uncultured bacterium. RNAcentral's name for it is "partial 16S ribosomal RNA". It matches the Rfam family "Bacterial small subunit ribosomal RNA", at positions 28 to 523 of the family's 1533-position model. The record is from RNAcentral.